Molecule: ribosomal RNA, 254 nt
Filed under: uncultured bacterium
Lineage: Bacteria
Description: partial 16S ribosomal RNA
Rfam family: Bacterial small subunit ribosomal RNA
Source: RNAcentral
UACAGAGGGGGCAAGCGUUAUUCGGAAUUAUUGGGCGUAAAGGGCGCGUAGGCGGCUUUUCAAGUGACGGGUGAAAUCCCUCGGCUUAACCGAGGAACUGCCUGUCAGACUGGAAGGCUUGAGACCGGGAGAGGUGAGUGGAAUUCCCAGUGUAGCGGUGAAAUGCGUAGAUAUUGGGAGGAACACCAGUGGCGAAGGCGGCUCACUGGACCGGAACUGACGCUGAGGCGCGAAAGCGUGGGGAGCAAAGCAGG